This 468-nucleotide ribosomal RNA is filed under the name uncultured bacterium. RNAcentral describes it as "partial 16S ribosomal RNA". It matches the Rfam family "Bacterial small subunit ribosomal RNA", at positions 28 to 507 of the family's 1533-position model. The record is from RNAcentral.
GACGAACGCUGGCGGCGUGCUUAACACAUGCAAGUCGAACGGAAAGGCCCUGCUUUUGUGGGGUGCUCGAGUGGCGAACGGGUGAGUAACACGUGAGUAACCUGCCCUUGACUUUGGGAUAACUUCAGGAAACUGGGGCUAAUACCGGAUAGGAGCUCCUGCUGCAUGGUGGGGGUUGGAAAGUUUCGGCGGUUGGGGAUGGACUCGCGGCCUAUCAGCUUGUUGGUGGGGUAGUGGCUUACCAAGGCUUUGACGGGUAGCCGGCCCGAGAGGGUGACCGGCCACAUUGGGACUGAGAUACGGCCCAGACUCCUACGGGAGGCAGCAGUGGGGAAUAUUGCACAAUGGGCGGAAGCCUGAUGCAGCAACGCCGCGUGCGGGAUGACGGCCUUCGGGUUGUAAACCGCUUUCGCCUGUGACGAAGCGUGAGUGACGGUAAUGGGUAAAGAAGCACCGGCUAACUACGUG